GGGGAAUUAGCUCAGUUGGUAGAGCGCUCGCUUUGCAUGCGAGAGGUACCGGGAUCGACACCCAGAUUCUCCC
Octopus bimaculoides (California two-spot octopus) is the source of this 73-nucleotide non-coding RNA. NCBI's taxonomy places the organism in Eukaryota, Metazoa, Mollusca, Cephalopoda, Octopoda, Octopodidae. The record is from Rfam.